GGCUCCGUAGCUUGGAGGAAAGAAGCGCCCGUCUAUGGAAUUCGGAGUUGUGGGUUCGAUUCCCACCGGAGCAC
Molecule: non-coding RNA, 74 nt
Organism: Aedes albopictus (Asian tiger mosquito)
Lineage: Eukaryota; Metazoa; Arthropoda; Insecta; Diptera; Culicidae
Source: Rfam